Molecule: ribosomal RNA, 440 nt
Filed under: uncultured bacterium
Lineage: Bacteria
Description: partial 16S ribosomal RNA
Rfam family: Bacterial small subunit ribosomal RNA
Source: RNAcentral
CCUACGGGAGGCAGCAGUGGGGAAUAUUGCACAAUGGGGGAAACCCUGAUGCAGCGACGCCGCGUGAGUGAAGAAGUAUUUCGGUAUGUAAAGCUCUAUCAGCAGGGAAGUAAAUGACGGUACCUGUUUAAGAAGCCCCGGCUAACUACGUGCCAGCAGCCGCGGUAAUACGUAGGGGGCAAGCGUUAUCCGGAUUUACUGGGUGUAAUGGGAGCGUAGACGGGAGCACAAGUCUGGAGUGAAAUGCCGGGGCUUAACCCCGAAACUGCUUUGGAAACUGUGCAGCUAGAGUUCAGGAGAGGUAAGUGGAAUUCGUGGUGUAGCGGUGAAAUGCGUAGAUAUUAGGAGGAACACCGGUGGCGAAGGCGGCUUACUGGACUGUAACUGACGUUGAGGCUCGAAAGCGUGGGGAGCAAACAGGAUUAGAUACCCUAGUAGUC